This 426-nucleotide ribosomal RNA is filed under the name uncultured bacterium. RNAcentral describes it as "bacterial SSU rRNA". It matches the Rfam family "Bacterial small subunit ribosomal RNA", at positions 28 to 434 of the family's 1533-position model. The record is from RNAcentral.
GACGAACGCUGGCGGCGUGCCUAACACAUGCAAGUCGAACGGAACUGUUUUGAAAGAUUUCUUCGGAAUGAAUUUGAUUUAGUUUAGUGGCGGACGGGUGAGUAACGCGUGAGUAACCUGCCUUCAAGAGGGGGAUAACAUUCUGAAAAGAAUGCUAAUACCGCAUGACAUAUCGGAAUCACAUGGUUUUGAUAUCAAAGAUUUUAUCGCUUGAAGAUGGACUCGCGUCCGAUUAGUUAGUUGGUGAGGUAACGGCUCACCAAGACCGCGAUCGGUAGCCGGACUGAGAGGUUGAACGGCCACAUUGGGACUGAGACACGGCCCAGACUCCUACGGGAGGCAGCAGUGGGGGAUAUUGCGCAAUGGGGGCAACCCUGACGCAGCAACGCCGCGUGAAGGAUGAAGGUUUUCGGAUUGUAAACUUCU